UCAAACAAGUUCAGUACGGUGCCAGAAAGUUCUUAACAAGAGCAGUCUAGGUGCUGCGGUGUGGUCGAAAUCCUGACUGGAAAAAAACAUCACAACAACUGUUUAGAGCCAAGAAGCUGUCGGAAAAACAGCCUUUUCAGUGACUUCAAAUGGGAGGUUUGAUACGGGUCUGUAAUUGUUCAUUAGUGAGUUGUCUCGAUCAUUCUUUUUUAACAGUGGCUUAAUAAUUGCAGUUUUCAGGGCCUGUGGGAAAUAGCCUGAGAGUAGAGGAGUGUUGACUAUUUGUUGAAGAUCUGAUGCAAUGCAGUUAAAAUAACAAGCAUGUAGGCAGAAUAUCAAGGCAGCAGGAGGAGGAUUUCAAAUGAUGCACAAUUUCUUCCAAGGUUUUAUAGCUGCUAGGGUCAAAUUGUGUCAUGCUAAUUGAAUUGGUUUUUAAGUGGACGCAGGGACAAUACAGACCCUUUACCUGAUGAGGAGGAACUGUCUAAUUUUCAGAUUUUUUUUCUCAAUAAUGUCAGAGACGGACUGCUGAACUUAUGAUUUGAGCAUAUUUUUUAUGCUAAAUGCAGUACCUCUGACAGAGCAUGGUGAUGGUGAGAGGGAUCUGGGGACAAUCCAGCCAGACGAAGAGGAUAAAAGGCGAGGAGAGCGAAAAUGAGACAAUACCGGUGACUACAAACCUGCAAAAAGCCAAGAGAUGACCCCCUUUGAGGAGCUUUUUGCAGAGGAUGAUGAACUGAAGAGGAAGAUGGUCUCUAGUCUAAUAUUUUUUGUUACAUUUUUCCAUGAUUUAUUUAAAUAGUUUUGGUUUGUAAUUGUUUUUUGUUGAUCAUACCUUAUGGGAAAGUAAUAUUUAUUUUUAUAAAUGGAAAAAACACCUCCCUGUCACAGUUGACAGUUUAUAGUGAUUACAGCCUAAAUGUGCCAGGAACAGGUAGGCUAAUUUUCGUUAUUGAAAUAGUUUUUUUUUCUCUCCAAAUUGUUUUCGAUAAGAUAAGAACCGGACUCGAUAAGCAGAAUUGGUAUCACUAAAAUGUAAAUGAUGCCCAACACUAUUAACAUUACAUCCAGUUAGUUUGUUAGAGGUGAAGGAGACUAAGGCUUGCUGGCCUUAGGCCUUCACUAUACGUCUCAUCAGCCCGGGCAGGAGAAGGCUGUUCUCUCUUUUAGUCGUCUUCAUUAUCAGAAGGGUUGGUGUUACAGAAUACAGAAUUACAGAAAGUGCUUGGUUGGGGUUGGAGGCAGACGCCGUGGCAGUGACCAGAGGGUGAAUCUAGCGCCAGUGUUAACCAGCACCUCCGUUUUAUCAGUGUGAACCUUCUGUUCUCCAGCAUCACGUUACCACAGAGUGUGUUCUUUUUAUCCUUCACUUGAGAAGGCCAACUCAAAAAGAGUCUUUAACACCGAUGA
Long non-coding RNA from Sebastes umbrosus (honeycomb rockfish), 1410 nucleotides. RefSeq lists it as uncharacterized. The record is from RefSeq and is a predicted model, not a curated record. NCBI's taxonomy places the organism in Eukaryota, Metazoa, Chordata, Actinopteri, Perciformes, Sebastidae. The transcript is spliced from 3 exons.